Molecule: ribosomal RNA, 253 nt
Filed under: uncultured bacterium
Lineage: Bacteria
Description: partial 16S ribosomal RNA
Rfam family: Bacterial small subunit ribosomal RNA
Source: RNAcentral
UACGUAGGGCGCAAGCGUUAUCCGGAAUUAUUGGGCGUAAAGAGCUCGUAGGCGGUUUGUCGCGUCUGCCGUGAAAGUCCGGGGCUCAACUCCGGAUCUGCGGUGGGUACGGGCAGACUAGAGUGAUGUAGGGGAGACUGGAAUUCCUGGUGUAGCGGUGAAAUGCGCAGAUAUCAGGAGGAACACCGAUGGCGAAGGCAGGUCUCUGGGCAGUAACUGACGCUGAGGAGCGAAAGCUAGGGGAGCGAACGGG